GAUUUCUGGUAUUGCGCACCUGAUCGACGGUGGUUACAUCGCCUGUAUUGGUGCUGCGCAUGCCAUCCUGCUAGAUUUCCGGACGUACUUUACUGUGCGGCCGUGCGAUCUAGCUCAUUUACUUUGAAAAAAUUAGAGUGUUUAAAGCAGGUUUGCGCCUUGAAUACAUUAGCAUGGAAUAAUAAUUUAGGACUUCGGUUCUAUUUUGUUGGUUUCUAGGACUGAAGUAAUGAUUGAUAGGGAUAGUUGGGGGUGCUAGUAUUCAGCGGCCAGAGGUGAAAUUCUCGGAUUCGCUGAAGACUAACUUAUGCGAAAGCAUU
This 320-nucleotide ribosomal RNA is filed under the name uncultured Paracercomonas. RNAcentral's name for it is "SSU rRNA". The stretch from base 108 to 320 matches the Rfam family "Eukaryotic small subunit ribosomal RNA", at positions 741 to 955 of the family's 1831-position model. Lineage: Eukaryota; Cercozoa; Cercomonadida; Cercomonadidae. The record is from RNAcentral.